ACUCCUACGGGAGGCAGCAGUAGGGAAUCUUCCACAAUGGGCGCAAGCCUGAUGGAGCAACACCGCGUGAGUGAAGAAGGGUUUCGGCUCGUAAAGCUCUGUUGUUAAAGAAGAACACGUAUGAGAGUAACUGUUCAUACGUUGACGGUAUUCAACCAGAAAGUCACGGCUAACUACGUGCCAGCAGCCGCGGUAAUACGUAGGUGGCAAGCGUUAUCCGGAUUUAUUGGGCGUAAAGAGAGUGCAGGCGGUUUUCUAAGUCUGAUGUGAAAGCCUUCGGCUUAACCGGAGAAGUGCAUCGGAAACUGGAUAACUUGAGUGCAGAAGAGGGUAGUGGAACUCCAUGUGUAGCGGUGGAAUGCGUAGAUAUAUGGAAGGACACCAGUGGCGAAGGCGGCUACCUGGUCUGCAACUGACGCUGAGACUCGAAAGCAUGGGUAGCGAACAGGAUUAGAUACCCUGGUAGGAUAGCG
This 473-nucleotide ribosomal RNA is filed under the name uncultured bacterium. RNAcentral's name for it is "bacterial SSU rRNA". It matches the Rfam family "Bacterial small subunit ribosomal RNA", at positions 335 to 801 of the family's 1533-position model. The record is from RNAcentral.